AUGACGACCGGCGCACGGGUGCGUAACGCGUAUAGAACCUACCUUUUACAGAGGAAUAGCCUUUAGAAAUGAAGAUUAAUGCCUCAUAGUAUUGUAGACUGGCAUCAGUUUAUAAUUAAAGAUUUAUCGGUAAAAGAUGGCUAUGCGUCCUAUUAGUUAGUUGGUAAGGUAACGGCUUACCAAGACAGCGAUAGGUAGGGGUCCUGAGAGGGAGAUCCCCCACACUGGUACUGAGACACGGACCAGACUCCUACGGGAGGCAGCAGUGAGGAAUAUUGGACAAUGGAGGAGACUCUGAUCCAGCCAUGCCGCGUGUAGGAAGAAUGCCCUAUGGGUUGUAAACUACUUUUAUACAGGAAGAAACACUGGUAUGUAUACCAGCUUGACGGUACUGUAAGAAUAAGGACCGG
This 410-nucleotide ribosomal RNA is filed under the name uncultured Polaribacter sp. RNAcentral describes it as "bacterial SSU rRNA". It matches the Rfam family "Bacterial small subunit ribosomal RNA", at positions 88 to 496 of the family's 1533-position model. The record is from RNAcentral. Lineage: Bacteria; Pseudomonadati; Bacteroidota; Flavobacteriia; Flavobacteriales; Flavobacteriaceae.